This 497-nucleotide ribosomal RNA is filed under the name uncultured bacterium. Its description in RNAcentral is "partial 16S ribosomal RNA". It matches the Rfam family "Bacterial small subunit ribosomal RNA", at positions 28 to 507 of the family's 1533-position model. The record is from RNAcentral.
GAUGAACGCUGGCGGCGUGCCUAAUACAUGCAAGUCGAGCGAACGGACGAUAAGCUUGCUGCUCUGAUGUUAGCGGCGGACGGGUGAGUAACACGUGGAUAACCUACCUAUAAGGCUGGGAUAACGUCGAGAAACCGGAGCUAAUACCGGAUAAUAUUUUGAACCGCAUGGUUCAAAAGUUAAAUACGGUCUUGCUGUCACUUAUAGCUGGAUCCGCGCUGCAUUAGCUAGUUGGUAAGGUAACGGCUUACCAAGGCAACGAUGCAUAGCCGACCUGAGAGGGUGAACGGCGCCAGUGGAAGUGAACGACGGUACAGAGUCCUAGGGGAGGCAGAAGUAGGGACUGGUGGGAACAGUGGGAAAUCCUGCAGGAGCAACGCAGGCUGAGUGCUGAAGCUCUGCGGAGCGGAUAAAUCUGUUAGUAUGGAAGACCAUAUGUGUAAGUGACGGAGCAUAUCGUGACGGUACCUAAACAGAAAGCAACGGCUAACUACGUG